GACGUAGGGCGCGAGCGUUGUCCGGAUUUAUUGGGCGUAAAGAGCUCGUAGGCGGCUCAUUGCGUCAACCGUGAAAUCCUGCUGCUCAACGGCAGGUCUGCGGUUGAUACGGGUGGGCUGGAGUUCGGUAGGGGAGACUGGAAUUCCUGGUGUAGCGGUGAAAUGCGCAGAUAUCAGGAGGAACACCGGUGGCGAAGGCGGCGUCCUGGACCAACACUGACACUGAUGAGCGAAAGCCAGGGGAGCAAACGGG
Molecule: ribosomal RNA, 253 nt
Filed under: uncultured bacterium
Lineage: Bacteria
Description: partial 16S ribosomal RNA
Rfam family: Bacterial small subunit ribosomal RNA
Source: RNAcentral